UUUAAAUUUAAAUGUCUAUGUUAACAACACAAAGAGGAUUAGUUCCAGUAGGUGCACUAGUUAAAAAUGUUCUGAUUAACAAGUCUAAGGCCUCCUCAGGUCUAAUACUGGCCAUGUGUGUUGUCUUCUUCAGACUUAGGAGAAGUCAAUCAACUACAUUCAACCCAGAUGACAUGUCUGAGCCUGAAUUCAAAAGAGGAGGGACAAGGGCAACCGCGGGGCCCCGAUUAGGUUGGUCUCGAGACUUGGGACAGUCUAACAGUGACUUGGAUAUGCCAUUUGCCAAGUGGACCAAGGAGCAGGUUUGCAAUUGGCUGAUGGAACAGGGCUUGGGCUCGUACCUGAAUUCUGGCAAGCACUGGAUUGCAUCUGGCCAAACGCUUUUGCAGGCGUCUCAACAAGAUCUAGAGAAGGAACUUGGAAUCAAGCAUUCACUUCAUCGAAAGAAACUCCAGCUAGCACUCCAAGCCCUGGGAUCUGAAGAAGAAACCAAUCAUGGGAAGCUGGAUUUCAACUGGGUCACUAGAUGGUUGGAUGACAUUGGCCUCCCUCAAUAUAAGACCCAG
Molecule: small RNA, 566 nt
Filed under: Pan troglodytes (chimpanzee)
Lineage: Eukaryota; Metazoa; Chordata; Mammalia; Primates; Hominidae
Description: retained intron
Source: RNAcentral